AGACCCUGCCCAUGAGUUUCAUCUACUGAGCCUUCCUUCAAGUUCCCAGCUGAUUAGACUGUAAGCUCUCCAAGGGCAGGGACCAUGGCUGGUCACCUUUGUUAUCCUCAUACCUGGGAUGCAUCAGGAUAACUAUUCAUUGAAUAGGUGAUGACUGUCUUCUGGGAGACUCCUCUGACUGGGAAGCCAUCAGUCAUAUUCGUAACUGGGAUGUGAAUCACGUCUCCAGAACAGAGCAUAAUAACCAAACCUCCCAGGACAUAUCCUCUCAGGCGAACAUUUUACUGUGACACUCCUUUUCCUCCUACCUGUGCAGAAAAGAAAUUCAAACAGCCUGCUUGUUCCACACGUCGGUGUCUUGCUGGAUAAGAAUUCUGUUGCUUUCUAGAACUGUGAGACUUAAACUGGUUACAAGAUGCCAGUAGUGAACCCUUGACCUAUUUAAUCAAUGCAGAUUAUAAAUGUGUUUAUAUGAUGUCAAUUGCUAUUUAAGCAGGAACCCAUUUUCAGUUUUAGUAUUUAGGGGGGUGGUUUUUAUUUUUUUGUUAUCUUUUUUUCCUUUUUGAAAAAUGCUGGGGGCUAUUUUGAUAAGGUUAGUCAUGCAUGUUAGAGUUUCAUUUUGCAAGUAUGUCUUGUCUUUUUUAAUGUGUAAAAAUAUAAGAAAAGGGAAAACAGUAAGAAGGGGAAGCAAUUACAUUAUUUUUCGGUAGUUUAUUAAGGCACCUAAUGGGUGCCUUAUGCAUAGUGGAACACCAUUUGUGUGAGAAGUAUAUGUGAGAAUAUAGACUGUAAAAGUCACAUGAUCUAGACCUGCAGAGGAACACUGACUAAGAGAAGGAGACACCAGCAUGGCAAACUUUGUGUCACAGGUGAGUUAUUUUCAGUUGGGGGCUCAGAUUCAGUUUCUGGAAUAAGGGAGACCAUUAAGAAAACCAAACUUCUGGAACUGUAUCUCACAAAGUUUUGAGACAUGUAGAUUUCAGAGUUUAGCCGAAUUGGAACUAAUCAUUCUGUAGCUAUCUAUAUAAACCUCAUUCUUCUUGCCAUCUGGCUUAUGGGUUGAUAAUUGGUGGGCAACAACCCUACUGCUACUGUUUAAAAAAAAUCGUAACCCUUUCCCCUUAAGGUGUUAAAUUCAAACGAUUUUUGUUUAAUGAAAGAAUUCUAUUUUGUUCGUUUGAUGGUCCCAGAAAACACUAAUAAAGACCACAGAGGCCA
Molecule: long non-coding RNA, 1218 nt
Filed under: Rattus norvegicus (Norway rat)
Lineage: Eukaryota; Metazoa; Chordata; Mammalia; Rodentia; Muridae
Description: long non-coding RNA NONRATT019514
Source: RNAcentral